GAUGAACGCUGGCGGCGUGCCUAAUACAUGCAAGUCGAGCGAACAGACGAGGAGCUUGCUCCUCUGACGUUAGCGGCGGACGGGUGAGUAACACGUGGAUAACCUACCUAUAAGACUGGGAUAACUUCGGGAAACCGGAGCUAAUACCGGAUAAUAUAUUGAACCGCAUGGUUCAAUAGUGAAAGACGGUUUUGCUUUCACUUAUAGAUGGAUCCGCGCCGCAUUAGCUAGUUGGUAAGGUAACGGCUUACCAAGGCAACGAUGCGUAGCCGACCUGAGAGGGUGAUCGGACACACUGGAACUGAGACACGGUCCAGACUCCUACGGGAGGCAGCAGUAGGGAAUCUUCCGCAAUGGGCGAAAGCCUGACGGAGCAACGCCGCGUGAGUGAUGAAGGUCUUCGGAUCGUAAAACUCUGUUACUAGGGAAGAACAAAUGUGUAAGUAACUAUGCACGUCUUGACGGUACCUAAUCAGAAAGCCACGGCUAACUACGUG
This 497-nucleotide ribosomal RNA is filed under the name uncultured bacterium. Its description in RNAcentral is "partial 16S ribosomal RNA". It matches the Rfam family "Bacterial small subunit ribosomal RNA", at positions 28 to 507 of the family's 1533-position model. The record is from RNAcentral.